Long non-coding RNA from Ailuropoda melanoleuca (giant panda), 2559 nucleotides. RefSeq lists it as uncharacterized. The record is from RefSeq and is a predicted model, not a curated record. The transcript is spliced from 3 exons. Lineage: Eukaryota; Metazoa; Chordata; Mammalia; Carnivora; Ursidae.
UUGUUUCUCAGAGUCCAUAGUCCCUCAUGCUUCAAGAAAAGCGUGUUUAAAUAAUCAGGUGAUUCACCAGAGAAAACAUUCUUGAAAACUGCUGUAGUCAUCACGACUGAGAAAGGACGGCUGCACGUUCUGAUGGAGUCCAAGCAAUAAAAAAGGAGGGGAACAGUUUCCUACGUCUCUUGCACGGAGUCAGGCAGAGUCUUCAGAGGUGGCGCCGCCACCCCAGCGGAGGUGACGGUGGGCGGAGCCGGAGCCGGGGGAGUGGGCGUGGCUCCUCCGGGGCAACAGGGACCUGCUGGAAACCAACCAACUCCUCGUCCGGCCCUCGCCGCUGCCUCCCACAGCCGAUGGCACUGAUGGUCCGCGGGAGGCUGAUGAUUUUACAUUGGAUCUUCUUUGAAAACUUGUUUUUUACAGGUACGCAAUAUUGCAUGGGGUGGCCACAUCCUAAUGCAAUCCCCAUCAGGUACUGGUGCUCCUUCCCAGUUUCCACUCCUUCAUAUCAUCCAAAAUGGACAUCCUGUUUUGCAAUUUCAAGCUUAUUCCUGUAAAUCCCCACCUCUCUUGGUGAUCUCUCCGAGGAUCAGGUUUCGAUCUUCCCGUAAUGAAUGAUGCAUUCUCUUCUGUUGGACUCACACACCACAUUUCUCACUCUCUCUGCCCCUGGGCCACCACCUUUUGUUUGUGAAGGGACCUGAGGUCUGAGGCAGCCCCAAGUUGUUAUAAGUUUUAGAUCAUUCCUCCCGUGACUCACCCAAGCAUUCUGAAGGGUGCAUGGAGGUUGGGAAGCCUGUGCCCAUGUCUCCAUGACACCCAGAGAACAAAUGACCGUUUAUCCUACCUUGGAUGGCCAUGUUGGAAUUCCCGUUGGAAGCCCUGCCAGCUCGCCAGCGUGUGCAGCUGCUCCCAGAAUCUUGUCACUGUUGUCCAGCACCAAGCUGGCCAUUUGUUCCAUGUGCUCGGCUUCUGACGCCUGUGCACCCUAUGAGGGCGGCGAGCAUACUGUCCUUGCUCCUUGUCGAGCCUUUGGGGCCCCGGGAGUGUUCAGUUAGUACCCGUUGAACAGAUGAGUGGAUGGAUCAGUAGAAAAGGAGGGAGCAGAUGGUGCUGGCUCUGCCCUCUGGGCGAUGGGACUGUGGACCCAUGUGGAUCAGAGUGCAGGAAGGGGAAGGGGGCUGCCCCUUCUGGGGUCUGAGUGUCUUCCCUCUUCCCAGGGUGAUACACUCUCCUCACAGCCAAGCCAGCAGGGAUGGGCAGUCCAUCCGCACCCACACCCAGGAUGUCAUCUCAAAUGGUCAAAUCCUCGAGAACUCAUGACUGAGAGCAGGCCCCUCGACACAUGAGCCCCAGAGUGAGAUAGCCGAGGGGAACCUGGGCACACGGGUGGUAGUUCAGACCUGCCAGGUUCAGAUAUCAGCUCUGCCAGACCUCGCGGUGGGGUACAAGGCAAUGUUUGCAGGCACAGCUUUCCUAGUCCUCAGCACUGCUCAUCCGCUGGAGGGGUUGCAGGGGUGCAGGUAAAGGGCGGAGGCAUGGGCUGUGCUACAAAGGUGUUCCGGUGGGCAGAAGCCUGAUGAUCCCGGGUAUUGAGCAGGGAAAUGAAAAAAAAAUGUCUACCCAGAUUAUUCCUUUUUGUGCCCUGAGUUUCUUCUCUGUGUCAAAUCGAGACCUGAGUCUUAUGCUCUGGUCAUCGGUCAGAAGGGGAGCUAGAAAAACAAAGAAACGACACAUGGUGAUAGAGGCAAUGAUAAAUGCGUGUAUCGACAGCAGAGCAAUGCCAGGAAGCUGAUGGCUUGCUAGUUUAGCAGACAAGCAAGAAGUCACCAGAAGGGCCACUGUUGUUCGUUCGUGCCCCAGCCCUGAGAAGAGCCAGACAGGGGGACAUUGCUUCCCUGCAGGUCAUGGAACGUCCCCCUACCCCACUCUCCCAGGGCAGCCACCCGCCCCUUCCAGUCACUGACCAAAGGCUCCAAUCUCUACCCAGUGUACACAGCCUGGUUCUUUCCUUUUUCAGGGCCAGAAGGCAGAGCAGGAAUAAGUCGGCUUGGAGUAUGUUUAUGUAUACGUGUGUGUAUAGGUCUGCGCACAUAUAUGUGAUGUGUUAAUGUAUAAAAAUAAAUCAAUCUGUAAUAGUGUAUGUAUAUAGAACAUAACGUCAUCAUGUAAGAUAUGUACUAUAAAAGCAAUAAUGUUUGCGGAUAAUGUAAUCGAGAGGGUGGCACCUUUAAUCACAGGGAAGGGAUGACUGACUGGGGGUCACUCGGGGUGUCUGCCACAUAGUGUGACAUGGACACUGGGACUUUUCAAAUGCCUGAGACAAUUUGAAUUGCAGCAAAAUUUGAGAAAAUGAUCCAAGGAACUUUGCUGUCAGCUAAUGACAGAAGCAGGUUGUGUCUACUCCUGCAGGCGCUGCCCAGUCCAGGCCCAGCUGCAGACUUGUUCAUCUGGGAACACUCAUCAGAUGUCCUGGGGGAGAUGUGCCAGGUGCACCUGGGUGCACUGAUUGGAAUUUUGGAAGAAAGGGACGAAUGACCUGAUUAAUUUAGUAAAUUAUUUAAA